This 253-nucleotide ribosomal RNA is filed under the name uncultured bacterium. RNAcentral describes it as "partial 16S ribosomal RNA". It matches the Rfam family "Bacterial small subunit ribosomal RNA", at positions 524 to 776 of the family's 1533-position model. The record is from RNAcentral.
UACGAAGGGUGCAAACGUUGCUCGGAAUCAUUGGGCGUAAAGCGCACGUAGGCGGCCUGUUAAGUCGGAUGUGAAAUCCCUCGGCUCAACCGAGGACGUGCACCCGAAACUGACAGGCUCGAGUAUGGAAGAGGGUCGCGGAAUUCCCGGUGUAGAGGUGAAAUUCGUAGAUAUCGGGAGGAAUACCAGUGGCGAAGGCGGCGACCUGGGCCAAUACUGACGCUGAGGUGCGAAAGCGUGGGGAGCAAACAGG